GCGCUGCUGGAGGACUAAGGAGUACAAGCAUCAUCAGACACCAGGAGGAAGGUCCUGUGCCAGGCUAAAGGAGACCAAGUCAGAGAUACAGACGGGGGUGCAUGUUCUGAGCCCUGAAAACAAAGACAAGAAGUAUGAACUUGAUACACACUGCAAAUGAAACUACUUGAGGUGCACAUGGUGCAACAUGGACAAAGCAAAAGGCCAACAAAAGAAGAGCAAGAUGAUUUUAGAAGCAGCAUUUUGGAUAGACUGGGCCAAGGAACUAUUUGAUGGGAUGUACCUGGCCUUUGCUAAUCCCCACAGAAGGCCCUGUGGUCCUGCUACAUCCUCCCCCAGGAAGCAGUGAUAUGAGAGGAACAGCGCAGUGAAGGUGGGUCCUCCAGAUCUGGCUAGAGAAGCCACCUUGGAGAAGCCAUUUUAGAAACUACAGAAACCUGGUCCCUCCACGACUAGGGGGGCUAGCAACAGCCAAUCUGGGUCCUUUUGGCCCAGCUAAAAGGAGCUGAAGGGCCCUAUUUGGUCAGUUCCUGGCUGGGACCAGAGAAGUGAAGAAGGGCGCUCUUCUAUGGCUGAAGGAGCCUGACAAUCAGAGAGAGCUUAUGGCUACCUGAAAUUACAUAGCUAGGAUUGUGGAGAGAGAAGAACAUGAGAUAGGGCUGGAGAUAAAAGGGUCCAGCAGGAUGAGGCCCAGGGGAAAGCAGCAAAGGAUUGAAGUGAACAGUGUGCUCCUGUGUAGAGGGUCCGUAGGCUGGAACCCGGAGUAGUGGGCAGACCCAGGUUCCCCAGGUAAAAUGGCAUAAACCCCAAGAUGAGGACAGUUCUUAUUUGGGAGCCCGAACUAAAGGGCUGAGAGCCAGGGUGAAGGCCCUAGAGAGGGCAGACAGGCUGUUUAUUUGUUGGACUCUUAAAUACCCAGGAAGGGGUUCAUUUGGACUUUGUGAUUUGGCUGGAGGGCCAAGCCACUGAAGACCUCUCCCCAUGAUCAGCCUGCAAGGGACACCAGAGUCGAGAAAAGAACUAAUACCGCACCCCACCACGCAGAGGGCUCAAGAAAUGAGUGCUCCUUUACAAACCAAAAAAGCAGAAAAGGUGGCAUUAAGGCGGUGUUAAAGUCAACAUCUCUCAUUAUAACAGGCUACAUCAUAAAAUACUCCAAAAUCUAGUAAAGCUCAGAUAUGGAUCUUCACUUCAAAUCUCCAAGUUUGGGAACUUUGGCUUCAGAUCUAGGGUUUGGGCUCAUGCCUUAUAGAGCAUUCAAUGUGGUAAAGUUAAUGAGAGAAAAUCCUUCCCUACCUUCUGGAUUUUCUUGCAUUUCAGUUUUUAGUUUCUCCAAUUAAA
Long non-coding RNA from Mauremys reevesii (Reeves's turtle), 1341 nucleotides. RefSeq lists it as uncharacterized. NCBI's taxonomy places the organism in Eukaryota, Metazoa, Chordata, Testudines, Geoemydidae. The record is from RefSeq and is a predicted model, not a curated record. The transcript has 3 exons.